This 329-nucleotide unclassified non-coding RNA is filed under the name soil metagenome. RNAcentral's name for it is "partial contains 5.8S ribosomal RNA, internal transcribed spacer 2, and large subunit ribosomal RNA". The stretch from base 1 to 120 matches the Rfam family "5.8S ribosomal RNA", at positions 35 to 154 of the family's 154-position model. The record is from RNAcentral.
GAUGAAGAACGCAGCGAAAUGCGAUAAGUAAUGUGAAUUGCAGAAUUCAGUGAAUCAUCGAAUCUUUGAACGCACUUUGCGCCCCCUGGUAUUCCGGGGGGCAUGCCUGUCCGAGCGUCAUUACAACCCUCAAGCUCAGCUUGGUGUUGGGCCCCGCCGCCCCGGCGGGCCCUAAAGUCAGUGGCGGUGCCGUCCGGCUCCGAGCGUAGUAAUUCUUCUCGCUCUGGAGGUCCGGUCGUGUGCUCGCCAGCAACCCCCAAUUUUUUUCAGGUUGACCUCGGAUCAGGUAGGGAUACCCGCUGAACUUAAGCAUAUCAAUAAGCGGAGGA